AUGGAUAGGUGGUGGGAGUACAUUAGGAGAAGGAUUCCACACGUUGUUGUGGUAGAUAAGCUGUAUCAGUCACUGUCUGACAGUGGACAGGCUUUUUGCUGUAGUGUUGGUAGUGUAGGUUAGGACUAGUAACAGGGAUGUUGUAGUGUUAGUGUAUGUUAGGAGUAGUAACAGGGAUGUUGCCGUGGAGGUUAGGACUAGUAACAGGGAUGUUGUAGUGUUAGUGUAGGUUAGGACUAGUAACAGGGAUGUUGUGGUGUUGGUGGAGGUCAGGACUAGUAACAGGGAUGUUGUGGUGUUAGUGUAGGUUAGGACUAGUAACAGGGAUGUUGCAGUGUUGGUGGAGGUUAGGACUAGUAAUAGGGAUAUUGUAGUGUUGGUAACAGGGAUGUUGUAGUGUUGGUGGAGGUUAGGAGUAGUAACAGGGAUGUUGUAGUGUUGGUGGAGGUUAGGACUAGUAACAGGGAUGUUGUAGUGGUGUUUGUAGGUUAGGACUAGUAACAGGGAUGUUGUGGUGUUGGUAGAGGUUAGGACUAGUAACAGGGAUGUUGUAGUGUUGGUAGAGAUUAGGACUAGUCACAGGGAUGUUGUAGUGUUGGUGGAGGUUAGGACUAGUAACAGGGAUGUUGUGGUGUUGGUGGAGGUCAGGACUAGUAACAGGGAUGUUGUAGUGGUGGUGGAGGUCAGGACUAGUAACAGGGACAUUGUAGUAGGGAUGUUGUAGUGUUGGUGGAGGUCAGCUCUAGUAACAGGGAUGUUGUAGUGUUGGUGGAGGUUAGGACUAGUAACAGGGAUGUUGGGGUGUUGGUGGAGGUUAGGACUAGUAACAGGGAUGUUGUAGUGUUGGUGGAGGUCGGGACUAGUAACAGGGAUGUUGUAGUGUUGGUGGAGGUUAGGAGUAGUAACAGGGAUGUUGUAGUAGUGUUGGAGGUCAGGAGUAGUAACAGGGAUGUUGUAGUGUUGGUGGAGGUUAGGAGUAGUAACAGGGAUGUUGUAGUGUUGGUGGAGGUUAGGAGUAGUAACAGGGAUGUUGUAGUGUUGUUGGAGGUCAGGAGUAGUAACAGGGAUGUUGUAGUGUUGGUGGAGGUUAGGAGUAGUAACAGGGAUGUUGUAGUGUUGUUGGAGGUCAGGAGUAGUAACAGGGAUGUUAUAGUGUUGGUGGAGGUUAGGGGUAGUAACAGGGAUGUUGUAGUGUUGGUGUAGGUUGGGACUAGUAACAGGGAUGUUGUAG
This is a long non-coding RNA of Oncorhynchus tshawytscha (Chinook salmon), 1231 nucleotides long. The record is from Ensembl. Lineage: Eukaryota; Metazoa; Chordata; Actinopteri; Salmoniformes; Salmonidae.